Molecule: ribosomal RNA, 856 nt
Filed under: uncultured archaeon
Lineage: Archaea
Description: bacterial SSU rRNA
Rfam family: Archaeal small subunit ribosomal RNA
Source: RNAcentral
UCUGCCGGAACCCGACUGCUAUCGGGGUGGCACUAAGCCAUGGGAGUCGCACGUCCCUCCGCCGAGGGGCGUGGCGCACGGCUGAGUAAUACGCGGCUAACCUGCCCUCGGGAGGGGGGUAACCCCGGGAAACUGGGACUAAUCCCCCCAUAGACGGGGAGGCCUGGAAGGGUUCCCCGUCGAAAAGGGCGCGUAGGGGUCAUCGCUACGCGCUCGCCCGAGGAUGGGGCCGCGUCCCAUCAGGUAGAUGGCGGGGUAAAGGCCCGCCAUGCCUAUAACGGGUAGGGGCCGUGAGAGCGGGAGCCCCCAGAUGGGCACUGAGACAAGGGCCCAGGCCCUACGGGGCGCACCAGGCGGGAAACCUCCGCAAUGCGGGAAACCGUGACGGGGUCACCCCGAGUGCCCUCCUUUGGGAGGGCUUUUCCCCGCUGUAAACAGGCGGGGGCAAUAAGCGGGGGGCAAGUCUGGUGUCAGCCGCCGCGGUAAUACCAGCCCCGCGAGUGGUCGGGACGGUUAUUGGGCCUAAAGCGCCCGUAGCCGGCCUAGCAAGUCUCCGCGGAAAUCCCCGGGCUCAACCCGGGGGCAAGCGGAGAUACUGCUAGGCUAGGGGGCGGGAGAGGCCGGGGGUACUCCCGGGGUAGGGGCGAAAUCCUAUAAUCCCGGGAGGACCACCAGUGGCGAAGGCGCCUGGCUGGAACGCGCCCGACGGUGAGGGGCGAAAGCCGGGGGAGCGAACCGGAUUAGAUACCCGGGUAGUCCCGGCUGUAAACGAUGCGGGCUAGGUGUCGGACGGGCUUAGAGCCCGUCCGGUGUCGCAGGGAAGCCGUUAAGCCCGCCGCCCGGGGAGUACUGCUGC